RNAcentral lists this non-coding RNA (550 nucleotides) under Pongo abelii (Sumatran orangutan). The record is from RNAcentral. Lineage: Eukaryota; Metazoa; Chordata; Mammalia; Primates; Hominidae.
UUAGCUAACAGCACCCAGGACUGUGGUGUGAUGUAGCAUCCAUUUCAGAGAGGGAAAAAGUGCUUUGGCUGUCCCCUGCUCUAGGCAUGUAGGCCAAAUGGACAGGAUUUUAUAAGAGAGAAAGAACUUCAUGUCACGACACUGGCAGAGCUGGGUAGACUUAGAGCAAACUAACUAGAAAGAUGAACAGUGUCCCUUGAAAUGCACAAGGCUUCCUCUCUCCAGAGGGUAAAACACUCACCUAGUGUGUCCUUCAGGUUCUUCACGAGGGAGCCCUUCUUCAGGCUGUUCUUCCGCUCCACGUAGUUGGACGGCACAUAGCCCGUCCUGUUGGCCGCGUUCCUCACCCGCCACCACGUCUUGGAGUCAUCCAGCAACCACAGCCGCUCGUUCUUCUUGAUGUCCAGCUCCUGGUCCUGCUGGGCGGUGUAGUCCCACUUGGCUAUCACAAUAACUUCUUCUGUCAUCUUUCAUGGAGUCCUUCUGCCAGCAAAACAUUUGGAGAUGCUCAUUAGAGAACUACCCGGACACUUCAUCCUUUGCACCAACU